Molecule: transfer RNA, 85 nt
Filed under: Candidatus Wildermuthbacteria bacterium
Lineage: Bacteria; Candidatus Wildermuthiibacteriota
Description: tRNA-Leu
Rfam family: tRNA
About the family: Transfer RNA (tRNA) molecules are approximately 80 nucleotides in length. Their secondary structure includes four short double-helical elements and three loops (D, anti-codon, and T loops).
Source: RNAcentral
GCCCUCGUGGUGAAAUUGGUAGACACGUGGGGUUUAGGACCCCAUGCCGCAAGGUAUAGAGGUUCGAGUCCUCUCGAGGGCACCA